GACGAACGCUGGCGGCGUGCUUAACACAUGCAAGUCGAACGCUGAAGCUUGGUGCUUGCACUGGGUGGAUGAGUGGCGAACGGGUGAGUAAUACGUGAGUAACCUGCCCUUGACUCUGGGAUAAGCCUGGGAAACUGGGUCUAAUACUGGAUACGACAUGUCACCGCAUGGUGGUGUGUGGAAAGGGCUUUACUGGUUUUGGAUGGGCUCACGGCCUAUCAGCUUGUUGGUGGGGUAAUGGCUCACCAAGGCGACGACGGGUAGCCGGCCUGAGAGGGUGACCGGCCACACUGGGACUGAGACACGGCCCAGACUCCUACGGGAGACAGCAGUGGGGAAUAUUGCACAAUGGGCGGAAGCCUGAUGCAGCGACGCCGCGUGAGGGAUGACGGCCUUCGGGUUGGAAACCUCUUUCAGCACGGAAGAAGCGAAAGUGACGGUACGUGCAGAAGAGGCGCCGGCUAACUACGUG
RNAcentral lists this ribosomal RNA (472 nucleotides) under uncultured bacterium. RNAcentral describes it as "partial 16S ribosomal RNA". It matches the Rfam family "Bacterial small subunit ribosomal RNA", at positions 28 to 507 of the family's 1533-position model. The record is from RNAcentral.